Molecule: long non-coding RNA, 902 nt
Organism: Brienomyrus brachyistius
Lineage: Eukaryota; Metazoa; Chordata; Actinopteri; Osteoglossiformes; Mormyridae
Exons: 2
Source: RefSeq, a predicted model, not a curated record
UGUUCUUGACAGCAGCUGUAUGGCACAGACUUUCCCACAUUAGCAUCGCACUGGUGCGGCUGCACGCCACGGCUGGUUACACAUGGCCACCUGAGCGGCAGUUUCGAGGCGACCUGCAGGACAGGUCCUUGUGGCGUUCGCACGUGAUCAGAUCCGUUAUCCGUCCAUCUGAGUCACUGACAGCUUUUCUCUCCUUUUUUACCGGACUGCUUGUCCACACCUAUCGACACGGCCUAGCCUGCAUGCUACGUUGCCCGUGUAAUUACCUACGCCGACAGGACUCUGAAUCUCCGCAGAUGACCAAAGAGACAGAUCCAGGACACAAUCCCCAAUGCCGGACCCCUGUGUCAUCUAAUUCGGCUGCAUGCAGUGUGCCGCAGUUGCCCACCAGAAACCACGCCCGUGGCAAGCGUGUCUGAUCCGCGGCCUGUGGGAUGCUGUCCCCCGGGUCCCCGACACGCCGAUACCCCCUCCUCGCUCCUUACGUGUUGUCCUGAUUGAAGUUGGCGAAGAGGAGCUGGCCGCAGCCAGCCUCCCCGCUCUGACUGGCCAGGUUCAUCGGCUCAGCAGCAUGCAGAGGCGCAGCGGCCGCGGGACACGCAGCAUCCGGAGCGGGGGGCCCGGCCGUGGACGCUCAGCCUCUCACCGACGUUCCUUCUCCCCCUUCCUCCUGCCUGUUGUUGUUUUGCUCGCGCGGAGCCGUGCAUGUGCCAUGCGCAUGCGCUGCUAUGGGCGUACGUGCAUGCGCCCGAGCGCGCUUGAGAUGAAUACACGCAUGACUCGUGAAUUAAAGGGGAAGUGAGAGGACCGUCUGCUUUCUCUGUCUGCUUUAAAGUCCUUAUUUACUGCUGAUACUGAUCUAUGCAUUUACUCGAUACAUUAAAAAUAAAACAUGAUAAUAU